UACGAGGGGUGCAAGCGUUAUUCGGAUUUAUUGGGCGUAAAGGGUGUGUAGGUGGUUUUUUAAGUCAUUUAUUAAAUACCUUGGCUUAACCAAGGAAAUGUGAGUGAAACUGGAAGACUAGAGUGUGGAAGAGAGAAGUGGAAUUCUCGGAGUAGCGGUAAAAUGCGUAGAUCUCGAGAGGAACACCGAUGGCGAAGGCAGCUUCUUGGUCCAUUGCUGACACUGAAACACGAAAGCGUGGGGAGCAAACAGG
This 253-nucleotide ribosomal RNA is filed under the name uncultured organism. Its description in RNAcentral is "partial 16S ribosomal RNA". It matches the Rfam family "Bacterial small subunit ribosomal RNA", at positions 524 to 776 of the family's 1533-position model. The record is from RNAcentral.